GAAGAGAGUUUCCUGUGAGCGCGGCUUCCUCAACAUGCAGCGCCCUUGUCAGUGCAGGUGGAGUUCGGAGGCGGUGCGGAGCUCCUGUUGACGGUGGUGAAGAAGCAUCAGGUCACCUUGCCUGGACAGGAGGAACCCUGGGACAUCCGGAACCUCCUUGUCUGGAUCAAGAAGAACUUGCUAAAAGAGCGGCCGGAGUUGUUCAUCCGGGGAGACAGCGUGCGGCCAGGGAUUCUGGUGCUGAUUAAUGAUGCCGACUGGGAACUGCUGGUCAGUACCUCGGGGGACAGCCCUCCCUCAACCACUCCCCUCACUGCUUUGGUAGGAAAGCCUUGGGCCUCUCAUGAGACGCACAUAGGGUGGCUAUGUAAUCCUCUGUCCCAAUCUGGCCUCCAGACUGAGGCUACUUGAGUCUCCCACCCCAAGUGAGGAAGGAAUGGGUAGCUGGGGGAAGUGAUGAGCUCUGCUCCACCCUGGAGAUUUGCUAGUAGUUAAUGUAUAGUGUACCCGUUUUUUUUCUGGUAGAUCCUAUCUUUUUCUCCCAGAGCAGCCAGGCUCCCCCUCUUUCCCUCUCAACACCUGGGGAGAAACUGGAAAAGUGCCCUUGACGGUCUUCUUAUUUCUCUUCUGGACCAGGGUGAGCUGGACUACCAGCUUCAGGACCAGGACAGCAUCCUCUUCAUAUCCACGCUGCACGGCGGCUAAGGGCCCUUCUCUGUGCCUGGGCCCCCUUGGGGUGGGGAGAACAGAACAAUCAGACAUCCCCUUGGGCCCUGCUUCCAGAUCUCCCUGUCUCCCUUGGCUGCUUUCUUCCCUACUCUGUCCCCUGAGCUCCCUCCAGGCAGGGAAAAGAGGCCAGGUGCUAAAAAUGAGCCUUUCUCAGGCACGUGAGCAGGGGAAGGCAGGCAGGCGGGCAGGCGCCCGAGCCCAGCACUCCCUCUCCCAGCAGCUGAGGUGGGGGAGGGUGCCCCUCAGUUUGUCAGGAGUGGAGGGGUCUGUGCGGCCAGGUGACCCGGCAGCUCUCUACUCCUGUGUCUCAGUCUAAACACUGAGUGGCCGCUGACGAGGCACUCCAGCUCCUGGGCCGUGGUGCCUUCCUGGGGGAAGAUGAAUGAACCUGAAUAGCUAAUGGCAGGCCCCUCCCUUCUCAAGGAUUGGAGGGGUCUCCGCCUCAGUUUCCCCAUCUGGACAGCAGAGGGCUCUGCCUGUCCCCCACUGAUAUCAUUGUGGAGCCCCAGCUGGGGUCCCCUAUUCAGUGCUGCCCCCCCCACAGCAGCUGCUCUUCCAGCCGCACCCUUCCUCCUGCUCCCCCACCCACAGUGCUUGACCCUGGCUGGCCUCCCCCCACACAGGCCACCAGAUGGGCUCCUGAGACGCUCCUCCCGGCAAGAGGCUGCCAGCGUGCAGCUCAUUCUGCUGAGUGGGGAGAGAAGGAGGGUGUCGGCUAAACCUUGGACUGGCAGAUAGAGGCUUGGGGGGUCAAUGUGCCUCAGUUUCCUCCUCAACAACAACUGAAUUUUUAUAGUAUCUGAAAACUGGGGAGAUACUUGAUGGCACAAAUGUACACUUGAUCUCCUCUCUCUCCUCCUGCAGGAAGCAGGAUGGGGGCAGGCAGCACCUGGUAGGCAGGAUGGUUCACCCCUCCUCCCUCCAUCCCUUCUGGAAGUCUUGGGGCCUCAGUGCCUGCAACAGCUGGCCUUGGGCAAAUAAAAGACUAGGUUGUUUACUGGCCUUGCCUGGAACUUCGUCCUUAGAAACCGGUGGCACCCCACACUUCCCCCAGCCGUGGUCUCUGGUCCAACCUCUGUCUUCAGCCUAGGGCUUUCAGAACUUCCCUUCACCCGAGAAGAGAGCAGGGGUUGCAAGCCAGACUAUCCAGACUCGGAGAAAGGGUGAUAGGACGGGCCAUCUGGAGAAGGGGUGGCAGAGCCGGUCUGUGCUGACCAGCGUGCGUCCCGAGAUACUUCCCUACCCGUCUGUCCGAGGCCAGGCUUUGUCCCACCAGCUGCAGCCAGCGGCCUCAGGACGGAGGAGGCAUAGAUAAGACUGCAGAGCCCCACUUCCCAUGACCUGGAGGAAAAGCUUUGUUUGCUGGAGGGAGACCUC
Molecule: long non-coding RNA, 2106 nt
Organism: Phocoena sinus (vaquita)
Lineage: Eukaryota; Metazoa; Chordata; Mammalia; Artiodactyla; Phocoenidae
Source: Ensembl